UCCAGACUCCUACGGGAGGCAGCAGUGAGGAAUAUUGGUCAAUGGGCGGGAGCCUGAACCAGCCAAGCCGCGUGAAGGAAGAAGGCGCCAGGCGUCGUAAACUUCUUUUGUCGGGGAACAAAGGGCGCCACGCGUGGCGUUGUGAGUGUACCCGAAGAAAAAGCAUCGGCUAACUCCGUGCCAGCAGCCGCGGUAAUACGUAGGGAGCGAGCGUUGUCCGGAAUUACUGGGUGUAAAGGGAGCGUAGGCGGGGAUGCAAGUUGGGUGUCAAAACUACCGGCUCAACUGGUAGUCGCACUCAAAACUGCAGCUCUUGAGUGAAGUAGAGGCAGGCGGAAUUCCUAGUGUAGCGGUGAAAUGCGUAGAUAUUAGGAGGAACACCAGUGGCGAAGGCGGCCUGCUGGGCUUUUACUGACGCUGAGGCUCGAAAGUGUGGGGAGCAAACAGGAUUAGAUACCCCGGUAC
RNAcentral lists this ribosomal RNA (465 nucleotides) under uncultured bacterium. Its description in RNAcentral is "bacterial SSU rRNA". It matches the Rfam family "Bacterial small subunit ribosomal RNA", at positions 330 to 793 of the family's 1533-position model. The record is from RNAcentral.